This 72-nucleotide transfer RNA is filed under the name Camelus bactrianus (Bactrian camel). It matches the Rfam family "tRNA". Rfam says of the family: Transfer RNA (tRNA) molecules are approximately 80 nucleotides in length. RNAcentral also lists the same sequence under 2 other names. The record is from Rfam by way of RNAcentral. Lineage: Eukaryota; Metazoa; Chordata; Mammalia; Artiodactyla; Camelidae.
GAGGGUAUAGCUCAGUGGUAGAGUGCAUGGUUAGCAGGCAUGAGGUCAUAGGUUUGAUUCCAAGUAUCUAUG